GCGUCGGUGGUAUAACGGUUAGUAUAGCUGCCUUCCAAGCAGUUGACCCGGCUCGACUCCUGCCGACGGCA
This 71-nucleotide transfer RNA is filed under the name Araneus ventricosus. Its description in RNAcentral is "tRNA-Gly". It matches the Rfam family "tRNA". Rfam says of the family: Transfer RNA (tRNA) molecules are approximately 80 nucleotides in length. Their secondary structure includes four short double-helical elements and three loops (D, anti-codon, and T loops). Further hydrogen bonds mediate the characteristic L-shaped molecular structure. tRNAs have two regions of fundamental functional importance: the anti-codon, which is responsible for specific mRNA codon recognition, and the 3' end, to which the tRNAs corresponding amino acid is attached (by aminoacyl-tRNA synthetases). tRNAs cope with the degeneracy of the genetic code in two manners: having more than one tRNA (with a specific anti-codon) for a particular amino acid; and 'wobble' base-pairing, i.e. permitting non-standard base-pairing at the 3rd anti-codon position. Lineage: Eukaryota; Metazoa; Arthropoda; Arachnida; Araneae; Araneidae. The record is from RNAcentral.